Long non-coding RNA from Cyprinus carpio (common carp), 3027 nucleotides. RefSeq lists it as uncharacterized. The transcript has 4 exons. The record is from RefSeq and is a predicted model, not a curated record. Lineage: Eukaryota; Metazoa; Chordata; Actinopteri; Cypriniformes; Cyprinidae.
AAUUUUUUGUCUUCCAGAGAAAUCAGAAAGAUUAAAUGGAGGAACAAAACCAAGACCAGAUGUGAUUAUGAUCAUUUCUGUUCUGUGUAUUGGCAUUAUAUUUUCAUUGGUUGUAAGUUCAUUCAACAGUCAUAAUUAACGUGUACUUCAUAUUUUAAUUAAGUGACAGCCUCUAAUUAAAUGCUGUAACUUUGUUUUACAGAACUCUGCCACAGCGUGUUUUUAAGGGUUUUUUGUCAUCACUCACGUCCCAGUUCCUGUACUCGACGUCAUCUGCACAGCUUCCUGGGAAUGUCUGUAUGGCACCUGUACUUAUUAAUUUAUUGUUGUGCUCACUCUCAUUAAUCUACUGAACCCAUCAAAACUUUUUCCACAGUCGUGCAAAUGCCAGCAAGCACUGACAAGUAAAAGCUCUCUAUUAUAGGUGACCUACUGUGGUGGAGGUAGAAGCCAAUGAUGAGUUCUGCUACUUGUGUUACAGUAUUUUGAGGUGUACAAAAGUAUACAAAAGGCUGUGAAAUUGCUUGAAAAGUUCACACCCACUCUGCUCAAAACAGGAAAUAUAAAAUUGCAAACCCAAUAUAAAUAUUAUAAAAUGAAUAACACCAUGAAUGAAACCAAUGUACACAGUAAAAUUAGCAGUAUAUGGAGAUGCUUGUGUACAGAUAUGUUUGGUUUUUGCACUACUCACAGAACACGUUAAAACACACUGUUUACUUGGGUCUCAGUCACUGUGGAGUGUUAACAUUUCUGUUUUGUGUAGCUCUUUGCUAAAGAGUGACAAAGAUGUGUGCCUUAUUAGCCAUUAUAUGCUACUUACAAUUGAAAUACCUACUGUUGUUAAAUAACAAUUAUGAAAAAUCUGAAAUUAAAAACAAAUAAAUACAGGUAUGAAAUAAAUCUGUGUAUAUAUGGAUUGCAUUGUGUGUUUUUUUAAAGCACUGUAUACAUUUAUGCAUUAAUAAUAUAAUGUAUCUGGGUGAUGUUAUGAUAUUGCCUCAAUAGUUAGUAAAAUAUUAAUAUCUUUUAUUUUUACAGGCUUUUAAUUGAGACCAGACAGUAGAGAGACGACAGGAAAGCACUGGUUGGGGAGAACGGAGCGGGAUCAGCAAAGUACAUCAAAACCCUUUCACACCAAAAGUGAAAUGAAUAAGUGAAAUGAAGGAAAUGUAAUUUCACGUCUAUACAGUAGAGGGCCGCGCAGCUCAAACAAAUUGUUCAGCUAUGGAUUGCAGAAGAAGAAAGUUCUCUGACUAGUAACUUUAAAAAUGUAAACUCUAACUCUCAUUACUUGUAAUGUGUUACCACUAAGACUCGUUACUUUGCUAAUUCACUACUCAACUAGGCACUGGAAAAGGCAGAUGUUUAAAAAAAUCUUAUAAUAAUGUUAUAAUAUAAAGGCACCUACUUGUGAUAUUAUAUAUAUAUAUAUAUUUUAACUUCUCAUGAUGUGACUAUGCUGGCUAAAUUGUGGAUCAUUUAUUGCUUCUUUGGCAGAACAUGCAUUCAGUGACUACAUCUUUCCAGUGGUGGACAGUAGCCAAGUACAGUAUGUUUACUCUGUUAGGGGAGAGCUGGGAUGAUUGCAGAAGAUUUUACAUUUCCUCCAGGUGCUGUUUGUAUUGAAAAGGGACUGCUUGUAUUAGAAAGGCAAAAUUGACCUGAAACCCACAUCUGUCAGCUGUACACCCACACUGUAAUGAUAAACAUACCAUUUAUUUUUGAAUUGACAGUGUCAAAUGUUGACCCCAUAAAAGAACUGACCAUAUAACAGGCAGGAAUAAUGUUCUGUCCCACUCUAAUCUUAUCUGAGACAACUGUGCUUCCUCAUCCUCGUCUUCCUCUUACUAUCUUGAUAUCACUAUGUUACAUGUACCACCCCAGUGAAAGCUUUUCCACUGCACAGACGUGUCUUUAGUGUCUUGUUUGGCUCGUCACUUCACAAAAAUAACUGAAAGGUUCUUUAGAGAGCCAUGCUGCCAGGAAUAGUUAUAUUUAUACUGCUGUCUUUGACUUCCUCUGCUUGUUGUGGCUAAAAGACCUCUCUUAAUCUCAAGGUUUCAUCUCAAGAGCAGUGUGAAGCAAGACUGCAUCAUGUUGAAGAUCUUACCGCUUCAGCUCUAUCUACUAACAUGGUGUCAAGUUGCAAAUAUUUUAACAAAUCAGAUAACAGAUUUGGGUCAAAGUGUGACCAUAAACUGUGGUCUUGACUUAAAGGAGGUGACAUGGUUUGUACUAAAUUUACCAGAUCCUCCGGUUCUGAUAUUACGCUCCUUUUCAAACCCACCAGCAACAUUUUACUUCAAUAAUAGAUUCAGACAGAAAUAUUCAGUGCAGCCUAAACAUAAUCUGUUCAUAAAUAAUGUCAGUAUUGAUGAGUUAGGAGUUUAUUACUGUACAAACAUAGACAGAACUGCACAAUUCAGCAACAGCACCAGACUUGAUUGGACCACACGGAUCCUUGUCCCAACUCAACCUUCAGAGUGUCAGAAUCACACUGUAGUGGUGCAGCCUACACAGCCGACAUUGUGGCAGACUGUUACUGUCAUAUUUGGUCUGAUCAUUGUUGUUCUGGUAAUUGGGUUCAUAGGCCUAUGUAAGUUUUUUUGCUGGUCGCAGUAACAAACACCCACAACAACGAAGAAACUGACCUUCUGCAGCUUCGACUGAUAGAUCCUGAAUACGCUGACCUGAUGUCUCUUUUUCACAAGGUGUUUUCCCAGUGUCCAGACAACUGGCAAAAAAUGUAAAUAUGUCCCAGUUUCAUCUAUAAGGGUCACUGGGUUCAAUUUACAUAGAACAGAAGCCCAACAUAAAUUUUAUAAUAUAGCCAUUAUUUCAUGUUGUUUAAUAGCAUACUUUGUAAAAGAUUGUAUAAACGUGUUUGUAAUGCAUUUUCAACUAGUCGUGUUCAUUGCUUUGUUAUCGCAGCAAAAAUAAAUUCAGAGCUGCUUUUACAGGAAAUUACUUUGUAAUCUGGUCACCAAGACAGCUUUGUGUGUGUGAUGCCACUCUUUGAAAUUAUAA